GAUGAACGCUGACAGAAUGCUUAACACAUGCAAGUCAACUGUGGCGGACGGGUGAGUAACGCGUAAAGAACUUGCCUCACAGUUAGGGACACCAUUUGGAAACGAAUGCUAAUACCUGAUACUGUGAGAGAGCUUUGCGUCCCAUUAGCUAGUUGGAGAGGUAACGGCUCACCAAGGCGAUGAUGGGUAGCCGGCCUGAGAGGGUGAUCGGCCACAAGGGGAGUGAGACACAGCCCUUACGCCUACGGGAGGCAGCAGUGGGGGAUAAUGGGCAUGGGACCGAAGUCUGUUCCACCAAUUCAGAGUGCACGAUGAAGUUUUCGGAAAGUAGAGUGCUUUCAGUUGGGAAGCAGUACCAACAGAAGAAGUGACGGCUAAAUACGUGCCAGCAGCCGCGGUAAUAC
This 404-nucleotide ribosomal RNA is filed under the name uncultured bacterium. RNAcentral's name for it is "partial 16S ribosomal RNA". It matches the Rfam family "Bacterial small subunit ribosomal RNA", at positions 28 to 526 of the family's 1533-position model. The record is from RNAcentral.